AAGUGUCCCAGGAGCAGUUGGUGGCACCGGGCUGGGCCGUCCCCUCCAUGGCCACGUCCCCACCAGGGGCCAGCAGGACUUUGUCACUUCCUGGGGACGUGGUCACGGUUCCAACCAUCGUGGUGGCAUCUCCGGUGACAUCGGGGACACGUCCCAAAGUGUCCCAGGAGCAGUUGGUGGCACCGGGCCGGGCCGUCCCCUCCAUGGCCACGUCCCCACCAGGGGCCAGCAGGGAUUUGUCACCUCCUGGGGACGUGGUCACUGCUGAAACCACGGUGGUGGCAUCUCCGGUGACGUCAGUGACACGUCCCAAAGUGUCCCCAAGGCCACCGGUGGCACUCGGGUCUUCGGUCACCUCCAUGGCCACGCCCCCUGCGGUGGCCACCAGGACUUUGUCACUUCCUGGGGACGCUGGGACAGAGGUCACCACGGUGGUGGCAUCUUCAAUGACGUCAUUGAGGUGUCCCAAAGUGUCCCUGGGGUCACCGGUGACACCGGGCUGGGCCGUCCCCUCCAUGGCCACGUCCCCACCAGGGGCCAGCAGGGAUUUGUCACCUCCUGGGGACGUGGUCACUGCUGAAACCACGGUGGUGGCAUCUCCGGUGACAUCGGGGACGCGUCCCAAAGUGUCCCCAGAGCAGUUGGUGGCACCUGGGACAUCGGUCACCGCCAUGGCCACGCCCCCAGCGGUGGCCACCAAGACUUUGUCACCUCCUGGGGACGCUGGGACAGAGGUCACCACGGUGGUGGCAUCUCCGGGGGCUUCGGUGACGCGUCCCAAAGUGUCCCCAAGGCCACCGGUGACACCCAGUCCCUCUGUCCCCUCCGUGGCCACGCCCCCAGCGGUGGCCACCAGGACUUUGUCACCUCCCGAGGUCACGGCGGUGGUGGCACCUCCGGUGACGUCACUCGGGUGUCCCUCCAUGUCCCCAAGGCCCCCCGCUCCUUCCGUGGCCCCGCCCCUUCCGGUUCCCGCCGGGUCUUCGUCGCCUCCCGCGGGGGCGGGGCCGGGUGACACUUCGGCGGUGACGUCAUCGUCGGCC
RNAcentral lists this long non-coding RNA (1043 nucleotides) under Cyanistes caeruleus (blue tit). RNAcentral describes it as "lncRNA (ENSCCEG00000004154.1)". The record is from RNAcentral. Lineage: Eukaryota; Metazoa; Chordata; Aves; Passeriformes; Paridae.